Molecule: RNA transcript, 2187 nt
Organism: Saccostrea echinata
Lineage: Eukaryota; Metazoa; Mollusca; Bivalvia; Ostreida; Ostreidae
Exons: 4
Source: RefSeq, a predicted model, not a curated record
AUAAAUUUAAUUUAGGGAAAUGGAAGAGGAUAACCAGAUGUUAGCCAACGCGCUUGAUAAUUUCCAAAAGAAAAAUCGUUCGGGGAAAUCAACAAAGGUGAAAUCAAAAAAGGAGAAGGGGAAGGGUGUAGCGUGUAAACUUUGUGGGUUCCUUUCCCGAAGUAAAAGAGAAUUACUGCUUCACAAGCGCCAGCAUCGAACAGGUGAUGCCGCUACACAUCCGUCCACCUCCUCUGUCUGUUCCGUUCCCGACUCGCCCGGACCGUCCACCUCCUCUGGCCGUUAUGUUCCGGACGACUCUGGUCCGUCCACCUCCUCCGCCAAUAUUGCUUCAACCGAAACAAGACCUACAUUUAGAUGUAGGACAUGCGGAGAAAUAACGAACAAUAGACGGGAAUUAUACCUUCAUCAAAGACUCCGCCAUCAACAUGGGGAAGGAUUUUCAGAUCUUCAAUUUCCAUGGGAAGAAAAUGGAGACCCUGCACCAUGGGCGGGUGAUGAAAAUUUAGAAAGAACCUAUAAAGCAAAUAGAAAUUUCAUUUUGGGAAAAGGCGAACAAAGUUCAGUCCAAAAAUCGGUAAACGUUUCCAUUCAAAAUGUUACAACUGAAAACUUGAUUGAAAUUAUUCAAAAUUCUUCUCAUUCCGAGGACCGGGCCUUUAGAUUAAAUUUAUCUUUCGGCUUUAUUCUUAGAAACAUUGAAACUGGAGAUUAUAGAUAUUUUAUACCUGACAGAAAUGAAUCAGUUUUUGAUCGCCCGGUCCUCAUUAACAACAUGUCUGAAAUCCAGAAAAAAUUACGCCUUAGACUAAAUUCAUUAAACAUAUUGGAAUAUUUAUUAAGACAAAGGCCAAACAGUAAAUGGCAGGUAGUACAAAUUACGAAUGUCAAAAUUUAUUUCUUCCGCACGAAAUUUUUAUUCAGUUAAAGUUUAGAGAUCAAAAUAUUUAUUUUUUAAUUUGUAUAUAUUGUUAUUUAAGUUGUUACCGAUUUUUUAACUGUAUGCUUUGUUCGUCUUGGGGGAAGGAGAGCGGUACUCUCUAAUGUACCGACAAAGAGACCGCUUUGCUCGUCUCGCAGACAUCAUACGGCCAGCGACCCGAACUCUACAGCUGGAAUAAACAAGUGUCUGGGUAGCGCAAUAUACAAGUGUCUGGGUAGCGCUAGUAUAUAAGUCCAGCCGGUUCAGCACCGUUAUUCCAGUCCAGAAGCUCAAGAGACAGAGAUGCAGAAGAUGAUGUUGGCGAUUUUAGUUUUAACCAUUGUACCAAUUGUUAGUCCAUGCAGUAUUGCAAGUGGGACUUUGCACUGUACUAACUUGCAACGUGCAGUUUCAACUUUGCAAAGAGGCAUCAGCAUUUCCAUCAUGACCAUCGACAAUGCAGCAACCACGGGACAGUUGAUUGAUUUAAGCAGAUUCCCCAGACUACAGAAGAUCCAGAUUCUAAAUACAGACUUGACGUGUGAUGAUUUCAAACUGACGAGGGGAACAACGCUUAUGUUAAAAGACAAAUUUUGCGAGUAUUCCGGUACGACAGAAGCUAGCUACCACACAACAAAAUCGUUUGCAUCUGUCCUUACCGAGUCUGCAGCGGUGGCAUUCAACAGUCCCUGGAUCAUUGCUACGGGGAUCCUGACAGGAAUUGUAGUGAUAUGUGUUCUAUGCGGAACUGUUCUGUUGAUUAGAAGACUUUUCCGAAAGAGAAAUUCUCUAAUUCGUAUUGACACAGAAUCUGUGCAAGAAUUUAAUGUUCAGGAGUUUAGCAUCAUGAGAGAAUUUAAAUCGGACUGAUUUCUUCAUUGUAGUACUCUUUGUGAUGGUAAAAUUACUGUUAGCUGUUUGUGAUCGAGGAGAGUCCUUGUCUGCGCCUACUGAACAUCAGAGAACCCCGCCGCCGCAGCCAGUCCGCGCAAUCCGCCGCUCAACGAGAGUCCGAAGAGUGCCACAGCGAUACGGACAUUAAUCAAAUUUGAGUGUGUUUGUGGACUUUUGUAAAUAUUAGUGCUGUUUCCCUGUAAAUUAUUUGUUCUUUUAUUCAUGUUAUAUUAUUAUAUUUUCCAUGUACAUACUUAGAGCAGGUUUAAAACGAAACAAUGAAUAACGAGUAAAUGGUUUGUGACAGUAUGUAACAACACACAAAUAAAUUGAUAAUACGUUUGAUUUUUUUUUAUUCUUAAUUUUCUAUU